AUCAGUGCCAUAAAUUGAAGAAG
Molecule: non-coding RNA, 23 nt
Filed under: Gossypium hirsutum (cotton)
Lineage: Eukaryota; Viridiplantae; Streptophyta; Magnoliopsida; Malvales; Malvaceae
Source: RNAcentral